GAUAGAUCUUGACCUGAUAAACAAUUUUACCCAGUCAGAUUUGCUCUAAAUGCUUUGGUUUUUGAGUUAUAAGCCAAAAACUGCAUUUUACCCCUAUGUUCUAUUUUUAGCCAUGGCGGCCAUCUUUGUUGGUUGGCCGUGUCACGCCACACAUUUUUUAAACUAGAUACCCCAAUGAUGAUUGUGGCCAAGUUUGGUUUAAUUUGGCCCAGUAGUUUCAGAGGAGAAGAUUUUUGUAAAAGUUAACGACGACGGACGACGACGGAUGACGGACGCCAAGUGAUGGGAAAAGCUCACUUGGCCCUUUGGGCCAGGUGAGCUAAAAAUGUAAUAAAAAAGAUUUUGAUACUUCAACUAUUUAUUAAGAAUUAAUCUGUUUAAAUACAAAUAAAGAUUGCCUAGCCUUUGAUACUAACAACAAUACAACCUAUUUGACUAGUUCUACAUUUGAUUGUAAAAUAAAUAUAAUCAAAAAUAUAAUCAAAACAAAUAUACAAUUAUUGAUAUGUAAUAUGUGUAACAGUAUAAAUUAUACAAGGAAACAUAGUAAAAUUGUUCUUCACAAAAUAUUCUAAAACAUUUUUGUAUAAAAGACUAGACUUUUUAAAAUUAAGAUAGUCUGAAUAAAUUAAAAAGUAUAAGAAAAACUAUUCUCCUUUUUUUUUCUCUUUAAUCUUUUCUACACAGAGAAGAUUUAUUUUCAAUAGCUACAGUUAACAAUGGUUAAGCAUAAUUAUAUGAAAAUUUAUGACAAUUUGAGUUUGGAAUUUUUGGUGUUCUCAUAAAGCAUACCUACUAAAGCUAGUGAAUAAAUAAUGCGAGAAAAAACAUAAGCACACAAGAAUGGUCAUAGUACACUUUGGUAUUUUUGUAAAUCUAACUCAGCUUACUCUCUUUAUGUUAAAAUACAGGCAUAUGGAAUCAUUCAUUGGCCAUUUUCUUAAUCAUUAACAUUCAAUGGGAUAUUCACUUACAACAAUGGUUGCAAAUAUAAACAUAAUUCAUAUGUUUGGAAGGGUAGACACAUAAUUUAUAACAAAACUUGUGUUUUACCCCUAUUUUCAAAUAAAAAUAGUUUUUUCUCCUUUUUGGAAACAUAUCAACAACUUACCAAAUAUUUCAAUAUAAGAUAGCCACACACAUUCUAGCUUCCUAUUUUAAAAUAAAGAGAGUCAGCGAUGUCAUGUGACAUCUAAAUGCCAUGGUAAUAACGUCAUGUGACAUAUAAAUGCCAUGGUAAUAACUACAAUAAAUUACAAUAACUAGCACCACAAUCAUUGAAAUGGACAACCAGUGUCUUAAAAGGAAUGUAAAACUAGGAACACAUAGUACAACAUGGAUUUGUUUCCUAAAAAUAUAAAUAAUGGAUUUCUUAACAGUUCAAAAUGGAAUGUAAACUUCUCAUGUUAACAAUAAAUCUUAUGUACAAAAUAUACAAUCAUAAUUUAUCAAGGUUUCAAAUUAGUAGUUUAAAACAAGAAUGUGUCCAUAGUACACACAUUUUUUUCUUUUAUUAAAGAAUGGACUUCUUGAUUAUUUACUCUUCAGAUUAAAUUUCUUAUUUUGUCUCAUUCAUACCUACCUACCUAAGUCUACCUAAAAAAUAAAAUGACCAAUGAGACAGAAUUCCUGUUAUCUAAGGGAUUACAUUUUAUAAAUUAAAACUGAUUUCGAAUUACAUUUGUACAUAAUUAUAUGGUAUUCCCUGAUUAAAAUAAGGACUAGCAAAAACGAUGAAUCGAGACAGAUCAUAAGCAAUAUAUAUUAUGUUCUAAUUCAUUUCUGAAACAUAUAAAAAAGAUUAUGGUAGAAACAUUAUUCUAUGAAAUUUGAAAAAAUAAGUUCUUCCUAAUAUGAAACAUAAUUUUUUAACAAUUUACCUUGUACAUGAAAUCCAGGACUAGCUUUCAAAAGUUGGACUCGUAAAUAAAAUUAUACCAAACAUUUUCAAUCUAGUUUUGCUGAUCGAUAUUUUUAAAAAACAUAUGAUGUAAAAAUACAUAUAUA
Molecule: long non-coding RNA, 2007 nt
Filed under: Mytilus galloprovincialis (Mediterranean mussel)
Lineage: Eukaryota; Metazoa; Mollusca; Bivalvia; Mytilida; Mytilidae
Source: RNAcentral